RNAcentral lists this ribosomal RNA (460 nucleotides) under uncultured bacterium. RNAcentral describes it as "partial 16S ribosomal RNA". It matches the Rfam family "Bacterial small subunit ribosomal RNA", at positions 338 to 795 of the family's 1533-position model. The record is from RNAcentral.
CCUACGGGAGGCAGCAGUGAGGAAUAUUGGUCAAUGGACGAGAGUCUGAACCAGCCAAGUAGCGUGAAGGAUGACUGCCCUAUGGGUUGUAAACUUCUUUUAUAUGGGAAUAAAACGUUCCACGUGUGGGAUUUUGUAUGUACCAUAUGAAUAAGGAUCGGCUAACUCCGUGCCAGCAGCCGCGGAAAUACGGAGGAUCCGAGCGUUAUCCGGAUUUAUUGGGUUUAAAGGGAGCGUAGGUGGAUUGUUAAGUCAGUUGUGAAAGUUUGCGGCUCAACCGUAAAAUUGCAGUUGAAACUGGCAGUCUUGAGUACAGUAGAGGUGGGCGGAAUUCGUGGUGUAGCGGUGAAAUGCUUAGAUAUCACGAAGAACUCCGAUUGCGAAGGCAGUUCACUGGACUGCAACUGACACUGAGGCUCGAAAGUGUGGGUAUCAAACAGGAUUAGAUACCCCGGUAGUC